AUUGAACGCUGGCGGCAUGCUUUACACAUGCAAGUCGAACGGUAACAGGGAGCUUGCUCCGCUGACGAGUGGCGAACGGGUGAGUAAUGUAUCGGAACGUACCCAAGAGUGGGGGAUAACGUAGCGAAAGUUACGCUAAUACCGCAUACGAUCUAUGGAUGAAAGUGGGGGACCUUCGGGCCUCAUGCUCCUGGAGCGGCCGAUAUCUGAUUAGCUAGUUGGUGAGGUAAAGGCUCACCAAGGAGACGAUCAGUAGCUGGUCUGAGAGGACGACCAGCCACACUGGGACUGAGACACGGCCCAGACUCCUACGGGAGGCAGCAGUGGGAAAUUUUGGACAAUGGGGGCAACCCUGAUCCAGCAAUGCCGCGUGAGUGAAGAAGGCCUUCGGGUUGUAAAGCUCUUUUGUCAGGGAAGAAACGGUGCGGGCUAAUAUCCCGUGCUAAUGACGGUACCUGAAGAAUAAGCACCGGCUAACUACGUGCCAGCAGCCGCGGUAA
RNAcentral lists this ribosomal RNA (500 nucleotides) under uncultured bacterium. Its description in RNAcentral is "partial 16S ribosomal RNA". It matches the Rfam family "Bacterial small subunit ribosomal RNA", at positions 30 to 523 of the family's 1533-position model. The record is from RNAcentral.